RNAcentral lists this ribosomal RNA (426 nucleotides) under Lactobacillus sp. UMNPBX9. RNAcentral describes it as "bacterial LSU rRNA". It matches the Rfam family "Bacterial large subunit ribosomal RNA", at positions 1025 to 1453 of the family's 2925-position model. The record is from RNAcentral. Lineage: Bacteria; Bacillati; Bacillota; Bacilli; Lactobacillales; Lactobacillaceae.
GCCCAGAUCACCAGUUAAGGUCCCCAAAUCUAUGCUAAGUGGAAAAGGAUGUGGAGUUGCGUAGACAACUAGGACGUUGGCUCAGAAGCAGCCAUCAUUCAAAGAGUGCGUAAUAGCUCACUAGUCGAGUGGCGCUGCGCCGAAAAUUUACCGGGGCUAAGCAUAGUACCGAAACUGUGGAUGUGUUUUAAAGAGCACGUGGUAGGAGAGCGUUCUAAGUGCGGCGAAGGUGAACCGAGAGGAUCAUCGGAGCGCUUAGAAGUGAGAAUGCCGGUAUGAGUAGCGAAAGAUAGGUGAGAAUCCUAUCCGCCGAAAGACUAAGGUUUCCUGGGGCAGGCUCGUCCGCCCAGGGUAAGUCGGGACCUAAGGCAAGGCCGAGAGGCGUAGUCGAUGGACAACAGGUAGAAAUUCCUGUACUGUGUUCAA